GAUGGACCUGCGGUGCAUUAGCUAGUUGGUAAGGUAACGGCUUACCAAGGCAAUGAUGCAUAGCCGAGUUGAGAGACUGAUCGGCCACAUUGGGACUGAGACACGGCCCAAACUCCUACGGGAGGCAGCAGUAGGGAAUCUUCCACAAUGGACGCAAGUCUGAUGGAGCAACGCCGCGUGAGUGAAGAAGGGUUUCGGCUCGUAAAGCUCUGUUGGUAGUGAAGAAAGAUAGAGGUAGUAACUGGCCUUUAUUUGACGGUAAUUACCUAGAAAGUCACGGCUAACUACGUGCCAACAGCCGCGGUAAUACGUAGGUGGCAAGCGUUGUCCGGAUUUAUUGGGCGUAAAGCGAGUGCAGGCGGUUCAAUAAGUCUGAUGUGAAAGCCUUCGGCUCAACCGGAGAAUUGCAUCAGAAACUGUUGAACUUGAGUGCAGAAGAGGAGAGUGGAACUCCAUGUGUAGCGGUGGAAUGCGUAGAUAUAUGGAAGAACACCAGUGGCGAAGGCGGCUCUCUGGUCUGCAACUGACGCUGAGGCUCGAAAGCAUGGGUAGCGAACAGGAUUAGAUACCCUGGUAGUCCAUGCCGUAAACGAUGAGUGCUAAGUGUUGGGAGGUUUCCGCCUCUCAGUGCUGCAG
RNAcentral lists this ribosomal RNA (636 nucleotides) under uncultured bacterium. RNAcentral's name for it is "bacterial SSU rRNA". It matches the Rfam family "Bacterial small subunit ribosomal RNA", at positions 224 to 851 of the family's 1533-position model. The record is from RNAcentral.